This 432-nucleotide ribosomal RNA is filed under the name uncultured bacterium. RNAcentral describes it as "partial 16S ribosomal RNA". It matches the Rfam family "Bacterial small subunit ribosomal RNA", at positions 29 to 506 of the family's 1533-position model. The record is from RNAcentral.
AACGAACGCUGGCGGCAUGCCUAACACAUGCAAGUCGAACGAGACCUUCGGGUCUAGUGGCGCACGGGUGCGUAACGCGUGGGAACCUGCCCUUAGGUUCGGAAUAACUCCCCGAAAGGGGUGCUAAUACCGGAUAAUGUCUUCGGACCAAAGAUUUAUCGCCUUUGGAUGGGCCCGCGUUGGAUUAGCUAGUUGGUAGGGUAAAAGCCUACCAAGGCGACGAUCCAUAGCUGGUCUGAGAGGAUGAUCAGCCACACUGGGACGGAGACACGGCCCAGACCCCUGCGGGGGGCAGCAGGGGGGAAUAUUGGACAAGGGGCGAAAGCCUAAUCCCGCAUGGCCGGGGAGGUGAUGAAGGCUUUAGGGUUGUAAAGCUCUUUUACCCGGGAUGAUAAUGCCGGUACCGGGGGAAUAAGCCCCGCCUACCUCCGU